CUCAUCUCAAAAAAAGAAAAAGAAGAAAAAAUUAGGAUAUUUUAAUUUUAAUUUGAUUUAUUUAUAUAUUUAUCAUUUAUUUAUUUGAGACAAGGUCUCACUCUGUUGCCCAGAGCACUCAAGCAAUCCUCCCUCCUCAGCUUCCCGAGUAGCUGGGACUACACACACAUGCCAUUGCCCCCAGCUAAUUUUAAAUUUUUUGUAGCGAUGGCAUCUCUCUAUGUUGCCAAGCCUGGUUCAAACUCCCAGCCUCAAACUGUCCUCCCAAAGUGUUGGGAUUACAGGUGUGAGCCACUGCACCCAGAAAUUUAUAAUCUUAUUAAAGUGUUUGUACCAUGUCUUAUCUCUUUAAACCUACUGUGCUUUGACCCUUCUUUCUGCCUGUCUCCUGGUCAGGCUCCUCCUGCUGGACCCUCCAGCCCCGGGCCUCAGGAGCCGGAGAAGGAGGAGAGGAGGGUCUGGACUAUGCCUCCUGUGGCCGUGGCCCUGAAGCCUGUAUUGCAGCAGAGCCGGGAAGCAAGGGACGAGCUACCUGGAGCACCUCCUGUUCUUUGCAGUUCCUCCUCAGAUCUUAGCCUCCUGUUGGGCCCCUCUUUUCAGAGCCAGCAUUCUUUCCAGCCCCUGGAGCCCAAACCAGACCUCACUUCAUCCACAGCUGGGGCCUUCUCUGCACUUGGGGCCUUCCAUCCCGAUCAUAGGGCAGAAAGGCCAUUCCCUGAGGAAGAUCCUGGACCUGACGGGGAGGGCCUCCUAAAGCAAGGGCUGCCACCUGCUCAGCUGGAAGGCCUCAAGAAUUUUUUGCACCAG
RNAcentral lists this small RNA (807 nucleotides) under Pongo abelii (Sumatran orangutan). Its description in RNAcentral is "retained intron". Lineage: Eukaryota; Metazoa; Chordata; Mammalia; Primates; Hominidae. The record is from RNAcentral.